RNAcentral lists this ribosomal RNA (396 nucleotides) under uncultured bacterium. RNAcentral describes it as "bacterial SSU rRNA". It matches the Rfam family "Bacterial small subunit ribosomal RNA", at positions 354 to 767 of the family's 1533-position model. The record is from RNAcentral.
GUGGGGAAUAUUGGACAAUGGGCGCAAGCCUGAUCCAGCCAUGCCGCGUGAGUGAUGAAGGCCCUAGGGUUGUAAAGCUCUUUUGUGCGGGAAGAUAAUGACGGUACCGCAAGAAUAAGCCCCGGCUAACUUCGUGCCAGCAGCCGCGGUAAUACGAAGGGGGCUAGCGUUGCUCGGAAUCACUGGGCGUAAAGGGUGCGUAGGCGGGUCUUUAAGUCAGGGGUGAAAUCCUGGAGCUCAACUCCAGAACUGCCUUUGAUACUGAGGAUCUUGAGUUCGGGAGAGGUGAGUGGAACUGCGAGUGUAGAGGUGAAAUUCGUAGAUAUUCGCAAGAACACCGGUGGCGAAGGCGGCUCACUGGCCCGAUACUGACGCUGAGGCACGAAAGCGUGGGGA